RNAcentral lists this non-coding RNA (48 nucleotides) under Schistosoma mansoni. The record is from RNAcentral. Lineage: Eukaryota; Metazoa; Platyhelminthes; Trematoda; Strigeidida; Schistosomatidae.
AUCCAGUUGACGAAUCCCAAAUAGGAUGAAGGGACGCGUGUCCCGGAU